Molecule: long non-coding RNA, 7370 nt
Filed under: Triticum aestivum (bread wheat)
Lineage: Eukaryota; Viridiplantae; Streptophyta; Magnoliopsida; Poales; Poaceae
Description: long non-coding RNA (TAES_LNC016306)
Source: RNAcentral
GCUCCUUACACUAAGAUGAUCGAGCAGAGAUCUAGAGUUCUCAACACAGAUCGAUGACGCCUCCUCGAGAUCCACUUCUUUGCAACCCCCAACCCUGGUAUAGUAUGAAAAAUCUACAAAUAAAUUAGAAGAAUAAGUAAUUAUUGAAUGCUUAUGUUUGUUGGUGUAGUAGUCCUUUUAGGUCCAGUCCUAGAGGAUGUUGCUUUACGCUUCCCUUUAUUUGAGUGACUUUCAUGCUAAAUAAUAUAGUAGAUAGAUCUAAUUAAUACUUCUAAGUGCAUAAUAUUUUGUGAAAACCUUACAUUUUAUAGUGUAGUUGCGUCUUACCUUAUGUGUGGGCCUGUAGGUGUGUGCCUCAUAACUUUUCUGUUUCCUAUAAAUUGUCCUUGUUUUGUUUCUUGUGUUUAGGUUUAGAUUUUUUUUCUUCAACCUACAGGCUCACUCAGGUUUUCCUUCAAUCUUCUACUUCGACCUCUAUAUUUUCAUGUGGAAUGUUCAAGAAAUAUCCAAGAGAAAUACAACUGCACUCAGCUUCAGAACAUGCACUGGAAAAAAUGUGUUGUUUUGGUUUGAAUGAUGACUCUACCUGUCGUAGAAGUGUGUUGUAGACGCGUAUCAGGAAUACAUGGACGUGGAUAUGCAUUAUGGUUGUAUUAUGGACGUGGAUAUGCUCGCCAUAUUAGCUAUAUCUUUUUCAUAUUUUUUUGAGUUUGUUCUCGGGGGUGGGUUGUGGCUGUUUGAUAACGGUCCAAUUUGGUUGUUUUAUGAUCUUGUCAAGAUAUUUCACACCAUACAGAUUAACUAUCACCAGUUUUAGUUAAUGACUCCUGAUAUUUAUCUCCCAAUGGUUAUCCGUCCACAUAGUUGCAUGCAACUACAAGUAUAAACUAAUUUUUUAACUUCCAUUUCUUGAUCAAUUGACAUCGGAAAGUUAGCACUAUUAACGCACUCUUUGUAGAGCACUGCUAAUACACUAAAAUCUAUUUGAAACAUAUUUUAUGGAACACAAAGAUUACUUUUUGAUAUAUGUGAAAUCUAAACUGCUCUACACUAGAAGCACAAAGAAACAUGAAAUGAAAUCCCCACCUUGGAACACGUAAAAACAGAUUUGAUGUUGAUCUAUGAUAUACCCCAUAAACUGCAAAAUUUAGCAUGCUGAUGAUGGAAUAAAGUUUUAAUCAAGGUGUUCUUUUCGAGCAAAAAAACAACAUUUUAUUCUUUUCCCUUGAUUGCAUGCCUCAUUAUUUAAUCACCGAUGAACAUAUGCUGCCUCAUGUUUCAAUCAUAUUUACUUCCUCUUCCAAGGAAUUUAUGGGCAGAUGUGUUCAAAUGCUUUUAUCUUUUGAACAUGUUUUCAUAUGAAUGAGCUGAAGUCAUUUCCCAUAAACUGUGGUGCUUUUACUUUUCAUUAAGGUUGCUCGACCAAUGAUGUUCAGUGAUUGUGUGCACUCCACAUGCAUCGCCUUUGUCGAGUAAGAAAAACAUGUUUUAUUUCUGAUUAUUUUCACAUAAUCUUCUUUCGGUUAUUUGAUUUUCUUUAGGUUUGUCCCCUUACGCUCCUCUUAUUCCCUCAAUAAAGUUUGGCCUUGUGGCAACUCACGGGGACAUACCUCGACAAUAGCUAUUUCAAAAAAGAGGCAAAAGGAGCGCAUGAUAUAUAUCAUUUCAUAUAUCAUGGCAGCAAAAACACAUUGUGGUGGUCGCCCUUAGCUAUGACGAUGUGCAUUCCUUAGCACCGGGCAUUGGCCUGGGAUGUCGUGGAGAGGAGAGGAGGGGGCGGGUGACACCGUGGAGGGAAGGAGAGAUGGCGGUGAGAGGAAGGUACGGGUUGAAUGACGUGGCAUCGAGGGGAGGCAGCAGCAAGAAGCCAUGGCGAGGAGAGAUUGUGGGGAUGAAGCCAUGACGAGGAGAGCAGGCCGGGAAAAUGAGAUGUGAGUGUGAAUGUUUUGCCGUGCAAUAGGAGUCAGAGAUUGAACUGUUUUGUUUAUUUUAAGAUGAGAAGAAAAAGAGCUGUUGUUUGCCUUUUUAGGGAAAAGCGAUUGUUUGUUGUGAGAAAAAGAUCACAUACUUUUUUAUACAGUGAAAAUAACACAUACCCUAGCAAGUUAUUUCCGGAGAAUAAUUACCAAAAACUAAUUACCAAGUGAGCUGCUUACUAAAAUUCAGAUGCGACUUACUCUACUAAAAAGCAGAUGCCACUCCCUCGGACUAAAUAUGUUGUAUAUGGGCUUAUUUUUUUUUAAUUUUAAUAUGUGUUUAUAUAUUCACUUUUGUAGAUUAGAGAUAAGAACUUUGGCUUCAGAUGAUGCUUUGAAACUGCAGUUGACAAAUCUUUAUGAUGGGCGGACUGAAAAUUCAUCGAGUUUUACACAAUUAGAAGAGAUAUAUACAAAUAGUGGUUCUUCUUUAUAUAUUUGUUGCACAUGACAAUAUAGAAGACAUAUUUUCAUAUAUGCUUAUUUUUGCAGAGUAUGAGAGAGAUGAAAAUGUAUGAUGUCGACAUUCAAAAGGAAUACUUAGACAAGGUUUCCAGCAUGGUGUUGUUGGAAGUGGCCUAAAAUUCACCGAGUUAUAUACGUGCAAUCAGAAUAAAAAGUAAAAGGCCCAUUGCAACACACGUGCAAUCAGAAAGAAACAAGAAACCACAUUCACUAAGUUUCUUUCUUCUUUGUGCCUAUUGUGCUAAAACAACAUUAAUGUCAACAAGAGAGUUGCAAAGGAAAAUGGAGCUUUAGAAGAUGUGCAUUAUGCAAGGCAAAAUCUUUGUUUCUGAAACUGUUAUCUCCUCGAGCCUCUUUGACUCAAAGGAGUUUCAAAUGAAUUUCAGAGGAUUGCAGUCCUUACAGUAAAUUUCCUAUAUUGCUUAUUUGAUUUGUGGGAAUCGUUUCAUUGUAACGAUGUAGCAGGAAAGUUUUGUAAGAAUCCAAACAUCCACCAAAAACUUUCUUUUACAAUCCGUUGAAACAAAUAAGUUCAUUUCUUUCUCAGUUCUUUGUUUUGCACAUGCACUUCUCUCUUUUCCCCAUGUUCUUAUUUAUGUGCACUACUCGCAAAAAGCUUGUUUGGCCACAUAUGCAAUCCUAAUACCCUGAUCUUUGUGCUCAACGGACUCUAUUUUCUCAAGAAAAUUCCACUUGACAAAUCACACCAAAACUGUGCUACUCUAGGUAAAGAAUUACUCAAUUGGUGCUCAAUACUUUAUGAGUUCAGUGAACUGUAAGAUAGAGUGACCGUCAUCAUCCGUGAGGCUACAGAGUGGACGGAUUGCACUCCUGCCCUCACUAUUGACUGGAUUAUGAGCCAAAGGAAGGCAAUGAGAUAUGGCCGGCUUCUCCUCAAGCGACACCACAAAAUCGUUACACUAGGGCUAUGUUCGUUGUGUCACAAAGUUAAAAUACCAGAGAAGUUCACUCUGAUAUUAAAUGACUCUUUGUAGAGAUGUUGCGACCACCUGCACGUUGAUGUUGAUGUUUACAUGCGGCUUUUGAGAUUAUUUUCAUUUUUUGCUAGCGUAAUAUUUCCUAACUGGAGUGUUACACAAUGAAAUUCGUUGAUGUUUCUGAUGGAGAGGAUUUGAAGAUGUUGGUUGUUGUUUCUUCAUGAUACACAUUAAAUUUUAGAAAGCAUUAAGCGAAGGCAUGAACCCUAGGUUCUUAAUAUUUUUCACGUUUGACAUUUUAUUGGAUACCAUGUUCCUAGAUUUCUUUGAUCAAUGCCAAUCAUAGUUCAAAAAAGCGCUAGGCGUUAAUUGUGCGUUUUGCCACCGCCUUGCACUUUACUGACCAAAGCGCAUGCUUAUGCGCAGUUAUGCACAGAUUAAGCGUAGUUAUGCGCAAUGCAUUUUGCCAACGCCUAGAGCCUAGGCGCGCUUAAGCGCUCGCUUAGGCGCGCCUUUUUUAACUAUGAUGCCAAUAGAAUGUUUAAUCACUUCUCGUAAUCAGAAUGUAUAGGCUACCUAGAUUCAAAUAGUCUAUUUUGUAUGUUUGUUCAGGGAAGUUGUUCAAGGUGCCCUAUUAUAGCCUUACAGGGCAUCUUUUUAAGACCACGCCUGCUCAUGCUCAAAUAAAGUUGUUUUCAUCCCUAAUUUUUUUACAACGCCUGAUUUUUGUGCCAAAAAUUUGGCAGCUAUUGUUGAUGCUCUAGGAGGGCAGACAGCCCCCUACUGUUGCUCUUGGCUCAGCCGCAAGGAUUCAAGUGAAUGAGGGACCUAAUCGAUGAUGGUGCUUUUCUGAAUCUUGUUUGUUGCAUAUGGGUGGAGAGAUAAUGUUCAUAUAUCUUGCUUCAGUUGAUGCACUGAUUCAUGUACAGUAUGGAGCACCCUGACAUCAUAGGUACCUACUUAUCUCCCACCUCUCUGUUUUUCUUCAGUUGUGAAGGUGUGCCAGUCUACAGUUUCGAGUUCUUCUCUUAUGUUUUGUGGAUCUUCCUAUUUUGAACCUUAACACGUCGUAUGCAUGUGUGCCAAUCUGAAAAUGCUACAUAUUGCAUGCUGCUAAAAUUACCAAAUACUAGGAUGUGUUGAGUACAGUGAAUGGAAGUUAGCAAAAUUAAUUAGUACUAUAAAGUGCAAGUUAUAUAUGUUAUUACAGUUAUAUCUAGCUACUCAACAAACAAUUUCCAAGACUGAUCUGUUCAUGCAUGUGCAGGUGUGCGCUUCACUGAAUGAAUCAUCAUGCAAUAUUCCUACUUCAAUAUAUACUCAAGGCAGCUACUCAUUUAUAUAUAAAAAUUCCCGCGUUGCUUAUUCUCCAUGGUGAUAGCCCAACCUCAUUUAUGAAAUAUUAGGGCCAACAGAGGGCUCUGACAAACUUAUGGAGAUGGUGGUGAUGUCCUCCUCUGGGGAUGGAGGGACGGAUCUAUGGGCAUCAUGAAGAAGCGCUUGGUUCCACAAGAGAACUGAGGUGCUUGUGGCGGGGUGCUCGAGGUGAGGUGAUGGCAGGGCUGGCCGAGCAGAACAAGCUCAUUGGCACCAACUCCUCGCCUUCGUCAUCACCAAUUGAGAUAAGGUGCAAAAGGAUAUCUCACUUAUCUCUUAUUCAGUCUGUUGGCUGCAGAUUUAGCAAUGUUUUGUUUGGCAGAUUUAACAAUUGUUGGAUUGUACUCCCUCCGUAAACAAAUAUAAUAACGUAGGGAGCAAAUCUGUCACAUAUAGCAGAAUUGGAAUAACAUGGAUUGAAAUUUCUUGAAUUUAUAGGAUUAUUAUUUUUCAACAAAGUCAGACGUUACCUUAGGAAGAAGGCUGUCCAAAAUCUUGGCCACAUAAAGGAGUACGUAGUUAUUGAUUUUGAAAUAAUGUAGUGCAUUAGCUAAAUUUUUUCAUUAAUUUCUGAACGCAUUUAUGUGUAAGCCCCGUCGCGAUAUUUGUUCCUCCUUUUGGUGAUAUAGGGCGGUGAGCUUUCUCCAUCUCCACUCUUUAACACGGAUUGGUUCUGCAUUUUGCAUCAAUGGCUUUGGAUAAGAAGUGAAUGUUUCUAUCUGAAUAUUAUUGAGUUAUUGUUGCUUUGUCUAGAUCGAUUUAUUCAUUUGGAAAAUUCAGUACUUUCUUAACAAAAGUAAUAAAAGGACUUGGUCUGGGAGGGAGUAGAGCCGCUUAAUUCAAUAUUUUCUGAACAACAACAAUAAAAGGACUUAUCCAGUUAUAAUUUUUCCCAGUAAAUGAUGGAAAUAUAUAUGUAUUUUUUCUCCCAAUAUGCUAUGGUCAUCUUGUUGCUAUGCAUAUAAAAUUUCAUGGCCAGAUGAGAAGCUGAGAGUUGGCUCUCCUAUCUACAUGUCUAUCUUGCUUUGACAAGGUGAUGUAAAUAUCCAAGAAAUCAUGUGAGCAGCUCCUGUAGUUCAAUAUUAUCUUUGGCCAUUCUGCUAUUUGUGUGUGAUUUUUUCCCCUAUUCAUUAUGACAAUGAAAUUCUAGAGACGACCAGGUACUGUUCUGAAGCCAGGUUAUUUCCUAUUAUCUAUGGAUUUGAUGUCUGGUGAACGGUUGUCAUACAUGCUUUCAACAAAAUUUAGAAAUGCCAAUGUUGCUGGCCUGCAUGUUGCCGGACCUGGUGCACACACAAUCACCAGAACAAGUCGUUCCAGACUUGAGGUUCAUCUUUAUGAUUUUAUUUUUGCAAUGCAAACUUGGAGCCUACUGUACAAACUAAAAGCAUGCUUAUGUCCACAUGUAGUGCAUACCCAGCCUAAAGUGAUUUUUUCCAGUUUGAUUGAUUUUAUUACUAGGGAAAAUACCAAUGGAUGAGUGCUCUCUCAGAGCUGCAAUCAAAAGUUAUUGCAAAUGGUUUGUUUGCUUUUUAUUUAUCUUUAUAGGUUAUGAGGUCUGAUUGUGCUUCCAUUUUGGAAUUGUUGGAAAGCUUAGGUUUCCUGAUCUAGCUAACAAACCAAACAGUCUAUUUAACAACAAGACAAUAGCAUAUCUGUAUGUACCUUGGGUGCUAGAUUUUCUAGCAGCAAGAUAGUAGCAUAUCUAUAUGCACCUUGAGAGUUACAUUUUCUACCGGUGCUUGUACUAUUACUAUGGGGCUUGUGUGGAUAAGGUAAUUUCUUUUAUAGUUAUUUUUUAGUGGGCUAAGUUUGGGUGUUGGUUGGGCCGUGGUGGAUAGCUAAUUUGGGCCUUGUGCAAAUUUUGCUCAACGAUAGAAAUGCUAGACUCGCAUGUGUAGGAAUUUAUGAUAAAAACAUAGAUAUUAAAAGUAUACAUACCUCACAGAAACAAUAAAAGUGUAUAUAUAUACUAAGGGUAUCACAAUAAAAUUGAGAGAAAAAACAAAUAUACUUGGUUGAAGAAGGUUUGUUUGCAUGUCUUACCACGAGGUCAGAAGUUUUGCGAGAAGGAAACUAUCCAGACGUUGGCACUCUGGUGGAACGGUGCAGAAUUGAUUAAGCUGGUUUGCGCGGUGAGUAUUGUCUGUUACAUGUUUUAAGACCUUCGGCGUGAAAUUUGCAUACUAACUACAUAUAUUGUUUGUGCAGGAUGAGUAUGAGUUGAGGAAGCAGUUUUUAUUAUACCUGCUAAAACAACAACUUUCCUGAUAUUGCUAAAGAAUUUCUUAAGCGCAUCAUCUAGAUAUUGAUAAUUUUGUAAUAGAUGUUCAGCUGGAACAUGGACAUGUCAUUAAUCUUUUCUUUUUCUUAUCAAUUUUCAUUGCAAAAUGGACUUCAAUUAUUUAGUAAUUGUGUUUGUGUUAUAUUGUUUGUGCAUGUGAAAUUUAACAUGUAACUCUUGUAAACUUUUUUAAGAGCCCAUGGCAACGCACGGGCACUCUACUAGUAAUAAGUAGAUGAUGGGUUGUUAGAGUGAUAGAAUCUAAACCCUAGUUUAUGCGUUGCUUCGUAAGGGGCUGAUUUGGAUUCAUAUGUUUCAUGCUAUGGUUAG